UCCCUGGUGGUCCAGUGGUUAAGACUUUGCCUUCCAAUGCAGGGGAUAUAGGUUCGAUCCCUAGUCAGGGAG
This 72-nucleotide transfer RNA is filed under the name Bos taurus (domestic cattle). It matches the Rfam family "tRNA". Rfam says of the family: Transfer RNA (tRNA) molecules are approximately 80 nucleotides in length. Their secondary structure includes four short double-helical elements and three loops (D, anti-codon, and T loops). RNAcentral also lists the same sequence under 5 other names. The record is from Rfam by way of RNAcentral. Lineage: Eukaryota; Metazoa; Chordata; Mammalia; Artiodactyla; Bovidae.